CGUCAAGUCAUCAUGGCCCUUACGUGUAGGGCUACACACGUGCUACAAUGGUGCGCACAGAGGGCUGCAAACCCGCGAGGGGGAGCUAAUCUCACAAAACGCAUCGUAGUCCGGAUCGGAGUCUGCAACUCGACUCCGUGAAGUCGGAAUCGCUAGUAAUCGUGAAUCAGAAUGUCACGGUGAAUACGUUCCCGGGCCUUG
RNAcentral lists this ribosomal RNA (201 nucleotides) under Scyphosphaera apsteinii. RNAcentral's name for it is "partial Bacterial small subunit ribosomal RNA". It matches the Rfam family "Bacterial small subunit ribosomal RNA", at positions 1183 to 1383 of the family's 1533-position model. The record is from RNAcentral. Lineage: Eukaryota; Haptophyta; Coccosphaerales; Pontosphaeraceae.